Molecule: long non-coding RNA, 1067 nt
Filed under: Pongo abelii (Sumatran orangutan)
Lineage: Eukaryota; Metazoa; Chordata; Mammalia; Primates; Hominidae
Description: lincRNA
Source: RNAcentral
GAACUUAAGCAGGAAAAGAAGCAAGCUGAAAACACACCAAGGAUUAUGGGAGAGGGGCAAGUGCAUGAAGCUUCUCAAUGACAUACAGACACUCUAAAAGCUCAAGAGAUCAAUUAUUCAACUUCAAGAACUGAAAUUUGAACACAGAUUUUGAGCUUCCAAAUCAGCUGCUAAUAUGGGAAAGAUUGAAAUCAGCAAGUUUCUGGCUGUAAGCUAAAAGAGGCUCUUGAAUCAUAUUUCCGCCUACUUAGCAAAUUUCUCUUGCGACAAUUGGAUGUUAUUUGGGGUUCCAUACUAGCAGGAAGAAGUACAAGCAAAGCUAAGUCAUUUUGAGAAUAAAUAUUAUCUCUGUAUAUAUUUGUAAAUGUUAUUUUCUUUCUUUUUUGAGGUUUAUGAUUGAUCCUUGGCAUGUGUCCACUUGUGUAUUGCUCUACUGAAAACAGCCUAAAAAAGAUUUUUCCCCUCAAUGUGGAGCUUCUCUUUAGUUACAAUUCCACUUUCUCCUUCACUUGAGUAUCAGUCUUCAGAGAACUAGCAUAACAAAGGAGUGGAUACACAUAUACACAAAAAAGUCUAUGAGAAAAUUAGUACAUUAAAUUUGUGAAAGCUCAUUUAAAGUAAUUUUCUACUAAAAAUUUUAAUCAAAUGUGUUAAUCAUAUUUCUAUGCUUAGUGAUGUUAAAUAAAAAUUUAAAAGGUGGCAAUCAAUAAACAGAGAUAAAAGCUUCUCAAGAAUAAAUGAAGUAAUAAAAAGACUCACUAAGCUGAAGUGCCUCCUAUCAACAGCAGCUGAUAAAAUAUUAAAAGAUUUGCCUUGUGUAAUGUCUCUGGAGAGCUGUCUUACUGAUGUACUAGGCCAUGAUUGACAACUUUGAGACUUUGCUGGAAGCGACUAUAUCUAUAAUAUUAUGCUGAAUUGCAUAGGUCUUUCUUCUUAAAUGGGGCUAGAAAUAACAUACCACCAAGUGUUUGGCUUUUAGGAAAUUGAGCAUUUUCUUUAGUUCUAGCUGCAGUUUAAUUUCCUCAGAAUUAGACAUUAUGCAGUAUCUGGAACGUAAAAAAACAAAA